This is a long non-coding RNA of Gasterosteus aculeatus aculeatus (three-spined stickleback), 2589 nucleotides long. Lineage: Eukaryota; Metazoa; Chordata; Actinopteri; Perciformes; Gasterosteidae. The record is from Ensembl.
AAAAAACAAAAAACACCUUUCCUCAUUUCCUCCUUACGACGUUUCCUUGCGUAAAAGGCGCAAAGUGAGCGGCUUAUUAGCGGACGCGCCCGUGCACACCGCCGCCCGUGAAGUAAUACGCCGAACAACAAACUGACAUCAUCAGAAUGCGACUCUCCCACCCCGACGAGCCCGACACAUUCUAGAGGACGUCAACCAUAAGGGGGGACCGAGUGGGCCAAAGCGUCACCGCUCGCACGCCGGCGCGUGGGUCUGUUCAUGCACGUGCGCCGCGGCUGCAGCCGUCUGCCGCGCGCGUCUGUCUGUCCGCGCAGGAGCCGAGACGGACGGGCCCGGCGGCGACGACGACGACGACGACGACGACCAUGAUGAUGAUGAUGGCGGAGGAGGACUGCGUCGGCUUCCAGGCGCAAAUCGCCUCCAUCAUCGAGAUCCUGGCCAACUCCGCCGUGGCGGAGAUCUGCAAGCUGGUGGACGACGGCUACGCGGCGCUGCGCUCCCAGAUGGAGCGGGAGCGGGAGAAGAGCGCGCGCGAGAACGACGCGCUGCGCGCCAAGCUGCGGGACACCGACAUGAAGAUGCGCGGCUACGAGAGGAAGAUGAGGAGACGGGGUCGGAGAGAGGAAGCCCCCGCCGCUCGUUUCGGGCCGUCCGAAGGAGCUGACAUCCAUCAGCCGGUGGUGCCGCCUCUUCCUGCGCCUUCUCCAGACGCAACCUGCCUUCACGUGUCAAAGCAGGAGGAGUCGUUGCCGCUGGUGAAGCAGGAGAAGGUGGACUGCAAUCUGGACCUGAAGGUGGAGGUCAACAUUAGGGCGGAGUGUGACCUGUCCACCGGGUCGCGUCCCUGUGCUGGCCAACGCCAAAUGAAACUCAACGGGUCCGACCCAAACCCGGGACCGGGUGUGGCACAGUCCACCGGACGUCAUCUUGAGGUGUGAGGACGCUUUAAUGGCCUGACCCAGCGGAUAAACGGAAGGCCGCGUUGGACCGGAGGUCUUAAGACGACCGUGAGUGACGGUGGGAACGAGAGAAGCGGUUCCCUCAGAGAGGAGCUCGGCGGGUUGACGCACGGGUCUCGAGGCGCCGCAGAGGGAGGGGACGCCAUAAGCUGCCAUUGAUAAAAAAAAUGAAUUAAAAAAAAAGCACGGCCUGACAGUGCGCAGGACGUCUUUUACAAGUUAGGAGGGAGCAGUACUGAGCUGGGGAGGUGAUUUAAUCUGAGAGACAGUGGUUUCUAGAAGUGAGAAGGAGAUUGGCUGAAAUUGGGUCAGCACUUUGUGCUUUGAGGGGGCGGAGGGGCAAGUGGGGCAUCCAUGUCCGGAACAAUCAGUCCUCAUGUCCUCUAACUUUUGUAAACAAAGUCACUCGGAAAAAAACCCCUCCGCUCAUUCUGGCCUCUUCGCAGCGGAGGAACUAUUCACAGCAGAAUCAAUGUCAAUUAAAAUCAAAUAGGAGAAAUAAAACUUAAGCUGCUGUCUGUCUGAAAGUUGAAGAGAAGGGAGACAAAUUGCCUCUCGGCCUUUAAUAAACGUCCAGCUCUUUCUUGUCUGCUCAUUGAGUCACGGAUAACCAUCACAAUUCACUACCUGAUUUGGAAAGGAGCAGUAUGGCCACCGCAAUGCAUCAUGGGACGGCUCCUACAUGAAAGCGCUCACGGGUUGGGCAUUGCUUCAUGCAUUGGGCAGAAUUGGCAUUGAAAACAACUUUAUUUACUCUCUUAUGGUUCAUUCUACAGGGACGAUACAGUAUUAUUAUCAUCAUUUAUCAUUCAUCCAAAGCGACUUUACAUUUUCAACCCGUGGCUUUUACAUUUUGCCCGGGGAGCAAUUCCGACCCCAGUGUGCAGAGCGGAGACUGUCACGCAGUCAUGAGUCAUAUUCCUAAAGCAGCCCGAGUUGAGCAUAACAAGCCUUUGCCACCGGCGCGAUGUCUUAAUAGACACUGCGGGCGACCUUUUCAGGUCCGCUGUCUUUCUCGCGACGACCUGCUGUGGACGCGCGCUGUGUGUCGACACCCUGCAGAGGUGACUCCUGACUUCCCGAACUCAAUCGUGCAAAAGUCUUAAGGGGCUGGUGGCCAGUUCAACGUCAAAAGCAGCAAAUCGCGAUCUCGUCAUCUCUCCGACUCAAAUACGGACUUGAGACUCUGGUUAACUUAAACGCGGUUUGUAAGCCCCCUGCUGCAGAUAACACUUUUUCUGAUCAACUCACAAAACUGUAACUGCAAUCUAGACAAAUAAUUCAUUCUUAUGGGCGAUUUAAUGUGAACUGGUAAAUCUCACAUAUAUGGGCCAACAAGGUCUCCUCUAAAAUUACACCACAGGAAAUACGGACUAAAGAAAUGUCUUUUUCGAGUAGACCAUGCACACGAGUUGUUGCUAAAGCAAGACCGAGAAGUGUUUGUAAAAUGAUGGAAACGGGAGCUGCUGAGGAAGAAAGGAUAUUAAUGGAAAAGCAGAAAUGACUCCUCAUGGACAGUUUUAAUCUCUUAAAAAUGUCCUGUCAAUCUCCCCAGGUUUGACUCAGACAUCCUCAGUGAUGGCGAGAUGAAGCCCCAUGAAGCAGUGAGGCUUUGCGUCCCGACGCUUCA